GGAUGUAGUGGGGUGGGUUUGGUCUACUUGGGCUAGACCUUAACCAAGUCUGGUUCGGGUCCAGGUCCAACUU
RNAcentral lists this transfer RNA (73 nucleotides) under Amborella trichopoda. Its description in RNAcentral is "tRNA AMTR_s00024t00277410". Lineage: Eukaryota; Viridiplantae; Streptophyta; Magnoliopsida; Amborellales; Amborellaceae. The record is from RNAcentral.